RNAcentral lists this ribosomal RNA (517 nucleotides) under Curculionellus sp. JP-2014. RNAcentral's name for it is "partial 16S ribosomal RNA". The stretch from base 386 to 517 matches the Rfam family "Archaeal large subunit ribosomal RNA", at positions 2542 to 2674 of the family's 2987-position model. The record is from RNAcentral. Lineage: Eukaryota; Metazoa; Arthropoda; Insecta; Coleoptera; Staphylinidae.
GUUUUUUUGAAUAUAAUUUAAAGUCUGGUCUGCCCAAUGAAUUUUAAAUGGCCGCAGUAUUUUGACUGUGCGAAGGUAGCAUAAUAAUUAGUUUUUUUAUUGAAAGCUUGUAUGAAUGAUUUAAUGAAAAAAUAUCUGUCUCUAAUUUAUUUAAAUAGAAUUUUAUUUUUUAGUUAAAAAGCUUAAAUUUGAUUUAAAGACGAGAAGACCCUAUAGAGUUUAAUAUAUUUAUAAUAAUUUAUUUUGUGAUAUUUAUGUAUAUUUUAUUAUAAUUAUAUUUUAUUGGGGUGAUAUAAAAAUUUAAUUAACUUUUUUAAUAUAUUAACAAUUAUAAUUGAUUAUAUGAUCCUUUUUUUUUAGGAUAAUUAGAUAAAAUUACCUUAGGGAUAACAGCGUAAUUUUUUUGUAGAGUUCAAAUCGAUAAAAAAGAUUGCGACCUCGAUGUUGGAUUAAGAUUUAUUUUUAAUGAAGAAGUUAAAAUAUUUAGUCUGUUCGACUUUUAAUAUCUUACAUGAUC